Long non-coding RNA from Beta vulgaris subsp. vulgaris (sugar beet), 344 nucleotides. RefSeq lists it as uncharacterized. NCBI's taxonomy places the organism in Eukaryota, Viridiplantae, Streptophyta, Magnoliopsida, Caryophyllales, Amaranthaceae. The record is from RefSeq and is a predicted model, not a curated record. The transcript is spliced from 3 exons.
UCGUUCUUCUUCCUUACAUUGAAUCGUAUGCUUCUUAAACUGACUUUUUAAUUAAUUAAAUUGACCUAUUAGUUGUUCUACGAUAACAAUAACAUUAUUUUUAUUGUUGUAGGAACCAUUGGACACUCAUUGCAAUAUGUGUGUCAAGUAACGAAGUCUACCACUUUGAUUCUUUGCGUAAAGGAACAAUACGGUCCUUACUAGUCAAAUCAUUGUUAAAUAGUGUGAUGAAGAAGAUUACUUCAUCUGGACUUCGACAAGGAAAAGCUCCUGUUUGGUAUUUAGUCGAGUGUCCGGUACAAGAAGGUGGACUUGCGUGUGGGUAUUACGUCAUGAGGUUCAUG